GAUGAACGCUAGCGGCAGGCCUAAUACAUGCAAGUCGAGCGGCAAGUUAGGUAGUAAUACUUGACCUAGAGCGGCGCACGGGUGCGUAACGCGUAUGCAACCUACCUUUUACUGGGGNAUAGCCCGGAGAAAUCUGGAUUAAUACCCCAUAGUACCUAAGGAUCGAUUGGUUUUUAGUUUAAAGAUUUAUCGGUAAAAGAUGGGCAUGCGUCUGAUUAGCUAGUUGGCGGGGUAACGGCCCACCAAGGCGACGAUCAGUAGGGNUUNCUGAGAGGAAGGUCCCCCACACUGGCACUGAGAUACGGGCCAGACUCCUACGGGAGGCAGCAGUAGGGAAUAUUGGGCAAUGGUCGCAAGACUGACCCAGCCAUGCCGCGUGCAGGAAGACGGCCCUCUGGGUUGUAAACUGCUUUUAUCUGGGAAGAAAAGUCCAUGCGUGCAAAUNGCCGGUACC
This 454-nucleotide ribosomal RNA is filed under the name uncultured bacterium. RNAcentral describes it as "bacterial SSU rRNA". It matches the Rfam family "Bacterial small subunit ribosomal RNA", at positions 28 to 479 of the family's 1533-position model. The record is from RNAcentral.